CAGUCGCCGCGGUAAUACGUAGGGUGCAAGCGUUAAUCGGAAUUACUGGGCGUAAAGCGUGCGUAGGCGGUGAGUUAAGUCUGCUGUGAAAUCCCCGGGCUCAACCUGGGAAUGGCAGUGGAUACUGGCUCGCUAGAGUGUGUCAGAGGAUGGUGGAAUUCCCGGUGUAGCGGUGAAAUGCGUAGAGAUCGGGAGGAACAUCAGUGGCGAAGGCGGCCAUCUGGGACAACACUGACGCUGAGGCACGAAAGCGUGGGGAGCAAACAGGAUUAGAUACCCCCGUAGUCCCUGUCUCUUAUAC
This 301-nucleotide ribosomal RNA is filed under the name uncultured bacterium. RNAcentral's name for it is "partial 16S ribosomal RNA". It matches the Rfam family "Bacterial small subunit ribosomal RNA", at positions 509 to 807 of the family's 1533-position model. The record is from RNAcentral.